RNAcentral lists this long non-coding RNA (4944 nucleotides) under Zea mays. RNAcentral describes it as "long non-coding RNA (ZMAY_LNC000466)". Lineage: Eukaryota; Viridiplantae; Streptophyta; Magnoliopsida; Poales; Poaceae. The record is from RNAcentral.
UUGGGUUUCAACUUUGCCUACCCUUGGGACUAAAAGACUUUGUUGUUAUUGUAGAGAAACAGGGUUGAGGGCAAUUGGCCACACCUCAAUGAGAGGGGGCACCUUCUAUUAUAUAGAGCUGGCUGGCCUGCUUUACAAGGCAGGGAUAAUUCCCCUGAUUUAUCCCUGAUUUACAUCUGCUAUAUCUAGCAACUAAUCCCUGAUUUACAUCUGCUAUCUAUAGCAGCUAGGAUUCUAUCCCUGAUUUACAUCUGCUAUCUAUAGCAGCUAGGAUAUCCACAGAUGGCAUAUUCUAUUGCCUAACACCCGCCCGCAGUCGCAGCGGGAGGCUCCCGGACGCAAAGACUGGAUCGAAAUUCUCGAAAGAGUGCUGUCGGAAGCCCUUUAGUCAUGAUGUCGGCGAACUGGUGAGAGGAGGGCACAUGGAGAACCCGAAUUUCACCAAGGGCCACCUUUUCGCGGACGAAGUGAAUGUCGAUCUCGAUGUGAUUCGUUCGCUUGUGGUGGACGGGGUUGGCCGUCAUGUAGACGGCGCUGACAUUGUCGCAGAAGACAACUGUGGCAGACGGCAGCUGGAUGUGUAGCUCCUGGAGUAACUGUCGAAGCCAGCAGCACUCAGCCACAACGUGAGCCACAGCCCGAUACUCGGCCUCGGCGCUAGAGCGGGACACCGUGGUCUGGCGCUUGGAGGACCAUGAAACUAGAUUGUCGCCGAGAUAGACACAGAAGCCAGAGGUGGAUCGUCGAGAGUCUGGGCAGCCUGCCCAGUCGGCGUCAGAGUAGGCAGUCAGCUUGGUGACAGACCCGGUGCCAAUGUGAAGACCCGAGGAGAGAGUCCCCUGGACGAAGCGUAAGAUGCGCUUGACCAGCGCACGGUGAGGCUCGCGCGGGGCGUGCAUGAAGAGGCACACCUGCUGAACAGCAUAUGCCAGAUCAGGACGAGUCAACGUCAGGUACUGGAGAGCCCCCGCUAAGCUCCUGUACUCUGAUGCAUCCUUCUCUGACAGUAGAUCCCCGUCGGUCGCAGAUAGCUUGGCGUGAGUGUCAACAGGUGUCGAUGUCGGAUGACACUCAGCCAUGCCUGCGCGCUGAAGAAGCUCGACCGCGUACUGUCGCUGGGAGAGGAAGAGACCAUCGGAGGAGCGUGUGACAGCGAUGCCGAGGAAGUGGUGGAGGGCGCCAAGAUCCGUCAUGGAAAACUCGGAGCUCAACCGAGUCAUAAUGCGUUGUAGCAGGGCCGACGACGAGGCGGUGAGGAUGAUGUCGUCGACGUACAACAGUAGGUAGGCGAGACUUGUCCCCUCUCGUAGAACGAAAAGAGACGUGUCGGAGAUGGAGGCGACGAAGCCGAGGUGCCGGACGAAGGUGGCGAAGCGCUGGUACCAUGCUCGCGGAGCCUGCUUCAGGCCAUACAAGGACUUCUGCAGAUGGCAGACGUGAUCUGGAGCGCCAGGGUCGACGAAUCCUGGCGGCUGUUGGCAGUAGACGGUCUCCUCGAGGUGGCCGUGAAGAAAGGCGUUCUUCACGUCCAGUUGAUGAAUGGGCCAGGCGCGGGAUGCAGCGAUGCUGAGUACAGACCGUAUGGUAGCCGGUUUGACAACCGGGCUGAAGGUCUCGUCGUAGUCAACGCCCUCGCGCUGGGAGAAGCCACGGACAACCCAGCGAGCCUUGUGGCGAGCAAGGGACCCAUCGGCAUGGAACUUGUGCCGGAAGAUCCACUUCCCUGUUACGACGUUGGCUCCGGGGGGCCGCGGAACAAGCUCCCAGGUGUUGUUGUCGACGAGGGCCUGAUAUUCAUCCAUCAUCGCGGCACGCCAGUUGGCGUCAGCCAGCGCGCUGCGGUAGUUUGUCGGAAGCGGCGAUGGUGAGGAUGACGUCGUGGCCGCCAGCCCCUCAUAGCAGACACGAGGAAUGGCACCCGUCAUGGUGCGAGUGACGCGCGGCGACGGCGGAGGCGAUGAAGUCAUAGGGGCUGCUGGGACAGCUGCCGGCUCGGACGUAGACGUUGUACGGGAACGACGGACGUAGACUCGUGGGAAGGGAACCACGUCGGGUCCAGGCGGGGGCACGGGACCACGCCCGCCCGGUGUCGCAGAAGGCGAGUCAUGUGAGGCUGCAACGUCUGGGGGCGGUUGCUCAACAUCCGAGUGGGAUGGAGCAACCACGGGCGUCGAGGAUGGAGUCCCACCUGCAACAACAGUAGGACAGGGCACCGAAACCAUAUCGUCGUCGAGGAGGAAUUCUAGGGAAGCAGAGGACGAGACGUCUGAGGUGGCUGCAAAGGGAAAGGUGGUCUCGUCGAAUGUGACAUGGCGAGAGAUGAUGAUGCGACGGGUUGAUAGGUCGAGACAGCGGUAACCUUUGUGUGAGCUAGGAUAUCCUAGGAAGAUGCAUGCCGUGGAGCGAGGGGCGAGCUUAUGUUUAGAGGUUGCUUGCAUGUUGGGGUAACAGAGAGACCCAAAAACACGCAGAUGGCUAUAAGUUGGUGGUUGAUUAUGCAGACGAGUAUAGGGAAUUUCAUGCUGAAUAGAGGAGGAUGGGCGCCUAUUAUGGAGGUAGCAGGCUGUCAGGAGUCCCUCGGCCCAAUAUGUGGGUGGUAGGGAAGCAUGUAGAAGCAUGGUGCGAAUUGAAUUGUUGAGUGUGCGGAUGAUACGUUCAGCCUUGCCAUUUUGGGGAGAUGUGUAGGGACAGGAGAGGCGAAGGUGAGUGCCUUGAGCAGCGAGGAAUUUGAUGGUGGCAGUGUUUACGAAUUCAGUGCCGUUAUCAGUCUGAAAGCAUUUGACGGGGAGGCUGAAUUGUGUUUGGGCAGAGGCAGCAAGCUCGACUAAGUGUUGGUGGACAUCAGAUUUUUUUCGGAGCGGAAAAACCCAACAGUAGUGAGUGUAAUCAUCCAAACAGACCAAGUAAUAUGAAAAACCAGACAAACUAUUGAUGGGUGAAGUCCAUACAUCACAGUGAACGAGUUCAAAGGGUGCAUGAGUUAUGGAAUGCGAAGAACUAAAAGGUAGACGCGUAUGCUUGCCUAGUUGACAUGAGUGACAUAGGGAGUGUUGUACUUUAUUACAGGAAAUAACAUGAAGUUUAUUGAGACGCUCUAAAACGGCGGGGGCGGGGUGACCGAGACGUUGAUGCCAGAGAGUUGACGAUGUAGCCAGGAGAGCAUGAGGUGGAGCGCCAGGUGUGGAGGCAGGCAUGGUGUAUAGGUCCCCGUCGCAGUUACAACGGAGAAUCACGCGUUCCGUCCUGAGAUCCUUAAUAGAGAAACCAUGGGCGUCAAAUUCAAAGGAACAAUUGUUGUCGCGAGUGAAUUGACGAACGGAUAACAGGUUGCGGACUAUGGAUGGGGCGACAAGGAUAUUAUUAAGAGCAAAAUUUGUUGUAGGUGUAGGAAGGACGGAAUGACCUCUAGACAUAACAGGUAUACUAGUGCCAUUACCUACUGUUAUUGAGGAGAUGGAGGGGGGAAGGCGCUGAGUAAGCAUACCAUCCGAGGACGUCAUGUGCGUAGAGGCGCCGGAGUCAACAACCCAGGGCGAGUUGCCCUGAAGUUGCAUGUUUUGCAGGGCAGCGAUGAGGCCUGCUGCAUCCCAGGUGCUGGUGGAGGUGUUGGAGCUGCUGGAGGACGCCUGGAGUGGAGCGAAGGCGGUGUGGGCCUGCGGGGAAGACCCGAGAAUGCCCAGGGUGCGCCCAGCCUGGGCACUAGAACCUCCCUGGCGGCGCUGUCCAGGAGGGGUGACGCGCUCUCCAGGGGCCACACGUUCGCCAGUCCAGGGAUUAAAGCCCCAGGGAACACGUUUGUUGGUGCUGGUGUUGCCGGAGUUGUUGGAGAAGCUACCAGAGGUGUUGUAGAAGGGCUGGUGGCCGCCUUUUUUGGUAUUAGGGCGCCGGCCGCCCUGCUAGUGCUGCUGCUGCGAACCACCAACAUUAGCUAGGAGGGCAGCAGCAGCACGCGUCUUCUCGUCGUUCUGCAGCCGCAGCUCUUUGAGGAGUAGCUGAUGGCGUGCGGUGGCGAGGGUGAGGGGUUGCUGUCCGGCGAUGUUGUCGGCGACGCCGGAGUAGACCUCGUUAAGUCCACGCAGCAGGUUGAGGACGAGGUUGGGCUCAGAUACGGGCUGCCCAACGUCGCGUAGUUCGUCGGCCUUCUCCUUCAUGCGAACGCAGUAGGCGUCAAUGGACAGGUCCCCCUGAGUCAUCGAGUGAAACUCGUGAUUCAGGAAGAUGGCGCGGGGAGCUUUGUUUGCCUGGAACACCUCGCCGAUGGCCUUCCAAAGGGCGCUCGCCGUCUGGGUGCUGUCGGUCAUGGCGAGGUUGAGGACGGCGUCGGAGGUGGUGCUGUACAUCCAUCCGCGGACGCAGAAGUCAGCCUGUGCCCAUGCCGCAUCGGUGGGGCGCGAAGUGGAGAGGUGAUGCAGCAGCCCAAUUUCCCACACGUGGCCUGAAACGUCGUCGACCACUUGGUGUAGUUGGAAGGUUUCAACUCCAGGGUCAUGGGGACGUGGAGCUUGAUGUUGAUGGUGGCAAAGGGGCAGAGGACAGGAGCAGAAUCGGCAGCAUCGGAGAUGGUGCUCAUGGCGCAGGGAAGGGGAAGGAGAGGGCAGACGGCGCGGUCUGGUUAAGGCGGCGCGGCUGGAGGAGAGAAGGUGAGGGGGGGGUUGGGAAAUUAGAUCGAUGCCUGGGCCUCUGAUACCAUGUAGAGAAACAGGGUUGAGGGCAAUUGGUCACACCUCAAUGAGAGGGGGCACCUUCUAUUAUAUAGAGCUGGCUGGCCUGCUUUACAAGGCAGGGAUAAUUCCCCUGAUUUAUCCCUGAUUUACAUCUGCUAUAUCUAGCAACUAAUCCCUGAUUUACAUCUGCUAUCUAUAGCAGCUAGGAUUCUAUCCCUGAUUUACAUCUGCUAUCUAUAGCAGCUAGGAUAUCCACAGAUGGCAUAUUCUAUUGCCUAAC